AGAGUUUGAUCCUGGCUCAGGACGAACGCUGGCGGCGUGCCUAAUACAUGCAAGUCGUACGCUUCUUUUUCCACCGGAGCUUGCUCCACCGGAAAAAGAGGAGUGGCGAACGGGUGAGUAACACGUGGGUAACCUGCCCAUCAGAAGGGGAUAACACUUGGAAACAGGUGCUAAUACCGUAUAACAAUCGAAACCGCAUGGUUUUGAUUUGAAAGGCGCUUUCGGGUGUCGCUGAUGGAUGGACCCGCGGUGCAUUAGCUAGUUGGUGAGGUAACGGCUCACCAAGGCCACGAUGCAUAGCCGACCUGAGAGGGUGAUCGGCCACAUUGGGACUGAGACACGGCCCAAACUCCUACGGGAGGCAGCAGUAGGGAAUCUUCGGCAAUGGACGAAAGUCUGACCGAGCAACGCCGCGUGAGUGAAGAAGGUUUUCGGAUCGUAAAACUCUGUUGUUAGAGAAGAACAAGGAUGAGAGUAACUGUUCAUCCCUUGACGGUAUCUAACCAGAAAGCCACGGCUAACUACGUGCCAGCAGCCGCGGUAAUACGUAGGUGGCAAGCGUUGUCCGGAUUUAUUGGGCGUAAAGCGAGCGCAGGCGGUUUCUUAAGUCUGAUGUGAAAGCCCCCGGCUCAACCGGGGAGGGUCAUUGGAAACUGGGAGACUUGAGUGCAGAAGAGGAGAGUGGAAUUCCAUGUGUAGCGGUGAAAUGCGUAGAUAUAUGGAGGAACACCAGUGGCGAAGGCGGCUCUCUGGUCUGUAACUGACGCUGAGGCUCGAAAGCGUGGGGAGCAAACAGGAUUAGAUACCCUGGUAGUCCACGCCGUAAACGAUGAGUGCUAAGUG
This 843-nucleotide ribosomal RNA is filed under the name Enterococcus faecium. RNAcentral's name for it is "bacterial SSU rRNA". It matches the Rfam family "Bacterial small subunit ribosomal RNA", at positions 8 to 822 of the family's 1533-position model. Lineage: Bacteria; Bacillati; Bacillota; Bacilli; Lactobacillales; Enterococcaceae. The record is from RNAcentral.